RNAcentral lists this ribosomal RNA (658 nucleotides) under Priestia aryabhattai. RNAcentral's name for it is "bacterial SSU rRNA". It matches the Rfam family "Bacterial small subunit ribosomal RNA", at positions 74 to 715 of the family's 1533-position model. Lineage: Bacteria; Bacillati; Bacillota; Bacilli; Caryophanales; Bacillaceae. The record is from RNAcentral.
AGAAGCUUGCUUCUAUGACGUUAGCGGCGGACGGGUGAGUAACACGUGGGCAACCUGCCUGUAAGACUGGGAUAACUUCGGGAAACCGAAGCUAAUACCGGAUAGGAUCUUCUCCUUCAUGGGAGAUGAUUGAAAGAUGGUUUCGGCUAUCACUUACAGAUGGGCCCGCGGUGCAUUAGCUAGUUGGUGAGGUAACGGCUCACCAAGGCAACGAUGCAUAGCCGACCUGAGAGGGUGAUCGGCCACACUGGGACUGAGACACGGCCCAGACUCCUACGGGAGGCAGCAGUAGGGAAUCUUCCGCAAUGGACGAAAGUCUGACGGAGCAACGCCGCGUGAGUGAUGAAGGCUUUCGGGUCGUAAAACUCUGUUGUUAGGGAAGAACAAGUACGAGAGUAACUGCUCGUACCUUGACGGUACCUAACCAGAAAGCCACGGCUAACUACGUGCCAGCAGCCGCGGUAAUACGUAGGUGGCAAGCGUUAUCCGGAAUUAUUGGGCGUAAAGCGCGCGCAGGCGGUUUCUUAAGUCUGAUGUGAAAGCCCACGGCUCAACCGUGGAGGGUCAUUGGAAACUGGGGAACUUGAGUGCAGAAGAGAAAAGCGGGAAUUCCACGUGUAGCGGUGAAAUGCGUAGAGAUGUGGAGGAGCACCAGUGG